GUGUAGGUUUUAAAAUAAAUAAUAAUAAACACAAUGUUGUUGUCAAUAGCUUAUCAGACAUCCUGAAGUUCCUACAAGAAAGAGUUGACAACACUAAAACCUUUAACAUUAAUGUGACAAGGGACGACCUUUACCAGAGAGGUCUGAAACAGCGGGCCAGACAGAAGCAGGCUUCCCACAAAAACCAGCUAAUUGUUUCCUUUAUUGGAGAACACGACAUUGAUGAAGGAGCACUACGCCGAGAGUUCCUAACUGGAUCUGUGGGGAGAUCAUUGCCACCAGCUUGGUUCAAGCAGGACCAGCACCGAAUUUCUUUUCUACUUGGUCUUACCAUUUCUUGCGUCAUGGACAAAUAACAAAUGAAGAUGUGCCAGAGGUGACUGAUACGGCAAUCCAGAACCUGAUUCAGGAGGUAAAUUAAACAGAAUAAUUUAUUUUCUGUAAAUUGUACUAACAAGUGUUUCUGAUUGAAGGUCGAACGUGCCGAAGAAGACGCACUGACAGACCUUUCUGAUGCCAUUGUAGCAUGUGGCUACACUGGUCAAUUCACAGCAAUUGCAAAAAGGCCAUCAUUGAGGCCAUCAGUUUGCAUUCGGUGAUGAGACUCAUACCGAUGCUAAGUCAGCUUAGAGAAGGACUGGCCAUCUAGGGUUUGGAUGAGCUGUUGCCACAACACCACCAGGCACUUCAGCCCCUCUUUCUUCCUGGGAACCUUAAACAGGUGGAUGCAGACUUCGUUGUGGAGGCACUGGCUCCUCAGUACAGUGACAAUGGAUCAGUAAGACACAAAGGAAGUGGACAUGAUCAACUUUUUGCAGGACCUCUUGCAAAACCUGGAAGAAGGAGGAACAGAUGACCAAGAUGGGAGCCCAUCAGAUGGCUGUGGAGCAAAGCAGUUGUCAGUGCAAGGAUUUUUUUCAGUGGGUUUCAGGCCAGGCACAUGUGCCACUAACAGACACAGAAAGAGAAUU
Molecule: non-coding RNA, 971 nt
Organism: Nothobranchius furzeri (turquoise killifish)
Lineage: Eukaryota; Metazoa; Chordata; Actinopteri; Cyprinodontiformes; Nothobranchiidae
Source: RefSeq, a predicted model, not a curated record